RNAcentral lists this ribosomal RNA (423 nucleotides) under Ameerega trivittata group sp. ABGD cluster 24. RNAcentral's name for it is "partial large subunit ribosomal RNA". It matches the Rfam family "Bacterial large subunit ribosomal RNA", at positions 1834 to 2457 of the family's 2925-position model. The record is from RNAcentral. Lineage: Eukaryota; Metazoa; Chordata; Amphibia; Anura; Dendrobatidae.
CUUGUUCAAUUAUAGGAGGUCCAGCCUGCCCAGUGACUUUGUUCAACGGCCGCGGUAUCCUAACCGUGCGAAGGUAGCGUAAUCACUUGUUCUUUAAAUGAGGACUAGUAUGAAUGGCCCCACGAGGGCUGCACUGUCUCCUUUUUCUAAUCAAUGAAACUAAUCUCCCCGUGAAGAAGCGGGAAUAAUCCUAUAAGACGAGAAGACCCUAUGGAGCUUUAAACAACUGAAACAUUUGCUUUUCUCCUAAUUCCUCCCGAGCUCUUUAUUUUUACUUAAGCAUUAUUAUUUCUAGUUUUAGGUUGGGGUGACCACGGAGCAAAACUAAACCUCCAUGAAGAAAUGAAUAUUUUUAAGCCACAAACUACUUUUUUAAGCAUCAACAAAUUGACCUUCAUUGACCCAAUAUAUUGAUCAACGAAC